Molecule: ribosomal RNA, 253 nt
Filed under: uncultured bacterium
Lineage: Bacteria
Description: partial 16S ribosomal RNA
Rfam family: Bacterial small subunit ribosomal RNA
Source: RNAcentral
GCCGUAGGGCGCGAGCGUUGUCCGGAUUUAUUGGGCGUAAAGAGCUCGUAGGCGGCUUGUUGCGUCGUCCGUGAAAACCCGUGGCUUAACUGCGGGCUUGCGGUCGAUACGGGCGGGCUGGAGUUCGGUAGGGGAGACUGGAAUUCCUGGUGUAGCGGUGAAAUGCGCAGAUAUCAGGAGGAACACCGGUGGCGAAGGCGGGUCUCUGGGCCGAUACUGACGCUGAGGAGCGAAAGCGUGGGGAGCGAACAGG